UGCCUUAGCUCAGUCGGUAGAGCAUUUCACUCGUAAUGAAAAGGUCGAGAGUUCGAUUCUCUCAGGCAGCUCGGCCA
Molecule: transfer RNA, 77 nt
Filed under: Rhodococcus sp. WS3
Lineage: Bacteria; Bacillati; Actinomycetota; Actinomycetes; Mycobacteriales; Nocardiaceae
Description: tRNA-Thr
Rfam family: tRNA
About the family: Transfer RNA (tRNA) molecules are approximately 80 nucleotides in length. Their secondary structure includes four short double-helical elements and three loops (D, anti-codon, and T loops).
Source: RNAcentral